AUUGAACGCUGGCGGCAUGCCUUACACAUGCAAGUCGAACGGUAACAGGUCUUCUGAUGCUGUCGAGUGGCGAAGGGGGGAGUAAUACAUCGGAACGUGCCCAGACGUGGGGGAUAACGAGGCGAAAGCUUUGCUAAUACCUCAUACGAGCUAAGGAUGAAAGCAGGGGACCGCAAGGACUUGCGCGUUUGGAGCGGCCGAUGGCAGAUUAGGUCGUUGGUGGGAUAAAAGCUUACCAAGCCGACGAUCUGUAGCUGGUCUGAGAGGACGACCAGCCACACUGGGACUGAGACACGGCCCAGACUCCUACGGGAGGCAGCAGUGGGGAAUUUUGGACAAAGGGCGAAAGCCUGAUCCAGCAAUGCCGCGUGCAGGAUGAAGGCCUUCGGGUUGUAAACUGCUUUUGUACGGAACGAAAAGGCUCUGGCUAAUACCUGGGGCACAUGACGGUACCGUAAGAAUAAGCACCGGCUAACUACGUG
Molecule: ribosomal RNA, 482 nt
Filed under: uncultured bacterium
Lineage: Bacteria
Description: partial 16S ribosomal RNA
Rfam family: Bacterial small subunit ribosomal RNA
Source: RNAcentral